Oncorhynchus tshawytscha (Chinook salmon) is the source of this 372-nucleotide long non-coding RNA. The record is from Ensembl. NCBI's taxonomy places the organism in Eukaryota, Metazoa, Chordata, Actinopteri, Salmoniformes, Salmonidae.
GCCAUGUGGAGUGCACAGAAGACGAAAACAACUCAGGCACGUGUGCAGCUUGACUGUAUCUAUAGAGGGAGAAGGAAGAUUCUACCUACAGACUAAAGGACCUGAGCCCUAGGACCAUGCCUCAGGACUACCUGGCCUGAUGACUCCUUGCUGUCCCCAGUCCACCUGGCCGUGCUGCUGCUCCAGUUUCAACUGUUCUGCCUGCGGCUAUGGAACCCUGACCUGUUUACUGGACGUGCUGCCUGUCCCAGACCUGCUGUUUUCAACUCUCUAGAGACAGCAGGAGCGGUAGAGAUACUCUGAAUGAUCAGCUAUGAAAAGCCAACUGACAUUUACUCCCGAGGUGCUGACCUGUUGCACCCUUGACAACCA